UACGGAGGGUGCAAGCGUUAAUCGGAAUUACUGGGCGUAAAGGGUGCGUAGGUUGUAUAUUAAGUUAGCUGUAAAAUUCCUGGGCUUAACCUAGGGUGGUCAGCUAAGACUGGUAUGCUAGAGUAUAGGAGAGGGCAGUGGAAUUUCCGGUGUAGCGGUGAAAUGCGUAGAGAUCGGAAGGAACACCGGUGGCGAAGGCAGCUUCUUGGUCCAUUCCUGACGUUCAUACACGAAAGCGUGGGGAGCAAACAGG
This 253-nucleotide ribosomal RNA is filed under the name uncultured bacterium. RNAcentral describes it as "partial 16S ribosomal RNA". It matches the Rfam family "Bacterial small subunit ribosomal RNA", at positions 524 to 776 of the family's 1533-position model. The record is from RNAcentral.